RNAcentral lists this long non-coding RNA (388 nucleotides) under Physcomitrium patens. Its description in RNAcentral is "long non-coding RNA (PPAT_LNC014217)". Lineage: Eukaryota; Viridiplantae; Streptophyta; Bryopsida; Funariales; Funariaceae. The record is from RNAcentral.
CAUUAAAAAAAAUAUGUAAGACCAAAAUGUUUAGUAUGAAGCCUUAAGAGAAGGUGGAAUCCUAAGGAUGAAAAUCUAAACUAGUAGGAGGCUAAUUGGGAGGGAUGAAAGUAAGGCAUGGUUGGAUGAAGACAAGAAAUGGAAAACUUCAUUCCUAUUAAUUGAAGGCCAUGUCCAACGGGCUUCAAGGAGGCUGUGUGAGGCCUUAUUAGGGAUUAGGGUUCUUCUUUCGGACAAGAUUUGGAGAUUACAAGCUAGGGUUGUAAAGUUUAGGAUUUGGGAUACUGUUUGUAUAUAAAAAUUAGAAGAUUUGGAGUUAGGGUGAAGAAGUUCCAGCCGUUUGAAAUUAAGGUGUUAAUUUAAGACAUACUGUUACUCUUUUGAGGAU